GCCCGCCUAGCUCAAUCGGAUAGAGCGUCAGACUCUUAUAUCAACGGGUUCUAAGGUGGCAAUCUGAAGGCUGCGAGUUCGACCCUCGCGGUGGGCU
This is a non-coding RNA of Gymnopus androsaceus JB14, 97 nucleotides long. The record is from the annotation of a GenBank genome assembly. Lineage: Eukaryota; Fungi; Basidiomycota; Agaricomycetes; Agaricales; Omphalotaceae.